GAGUUUGAUCCUGGCUCAGAUUGAACGCUGGCGGCAGGCCUAACACAUGCAAGUCGAGCGGAUGACGGGAGCUUGCUCCUUGAUUCAGCGGCGGACGGGUGAGUAAUGCCUAGGAAUCUGCCUGGUAGUGGGGGACAACGUUUCGAAAGGAACGCUAAUACCGCAUACGUCCUACGGGAGAAAGCAGGGGACCUUCGGGCCUUGCGCUAUCAGAUGAGCCUAGGUCGGAUUAGCUAGUUGGUGGGGUAAUGGCUCACCAAGGCGACGAUCCGUAACUGGUCUGAGAGGAUGAUCAGUCACACUGGAACUGAGACACGGUCCAGACUCCUACGGGAGGCAGCAGUGGGGAAUAUUGGACAAUGGGCGAAAGCCUGAUCCAGCCAUGCCGCGUGUGUGAAGAAGGUCUUCGGAUUGUAAAGCACUUUAAGUUGGGAGGAAGGGCAGUAAGUUAAUACCUUGCUGUUUUGACGUUACCGACAGAAUAAGCACCGGCUAACUCUGUGCCAGCAG
This 510-nucleotide ribosomal RNA is filed under the name bacterium enrichment culture clone OZDCA93. Its description in RNAcentral is "bacterial SSU rRNA". It matches the Rfam family "Bacterial small subunit ribosomal RNA", at positions 9 to 514 of the family's 1533-position model. The record is from RNAcentral. RNAcentral also lists the same sequence under 2 other names.